AACGCACCUUGCGCCCCUUGGCAUUCCGAGGGGCACACCCGUUUGAGUGUCGUGAAAUCCUCAAAACCCUCUUCUUUCGGGAAGAGGUGUUUUGGACUUGGAGGUUCAAUGCUCGCUUUCGUCUUUGAGAGCGAGCUCCUCUCAAAUGAAUCAGUGGGGUCUGCUUUGCUGGUCCUUGACGUGAUAAGAUGUUUCUACGUUUUGGAUUUGGCAUCGUCCCUUGGAUGCCCCCGCUCCUAAUCGUCUCAUGGACAAUGAUGGUGCUUCCGGUCACCGCCAAUCCACAUCGGCGGGAGGCUGGACCCACAAAAAAAACCUUGACCUCAAAUCGGGUGAGACUACCCGCUGAACUUAA
Molecule: unclassified non-coding RNA, 355 nt
Filed under: uncultured Russulaceae
Lineage: Eukaryota; Fungi; Basidiomycota; Agaricomycetes; Russulales; Russulaceae
Description: sequence contains ITS2
Source: RNAcentral